This is a non-coding RNA of Triticum aestivum (bread wheat), 113 nucleotides long. Lineage: Eukaryota; Viridiplantae; Streptophyta; Magnoliopsida; Poales; Poaceae. The record is from Rfam.
CUUGUACUCCCUCCGUCCGAAAAUACUUAUCAUUGAAAUGGAUGUAUCUAGAUGUAUUUUAGUUCUACACAUCCAUUUUGAUGACAAGUAAUUCCGGACGGAGGGAGUACUUG